UGGUGGAGUGAUUUGUCUGGUUAAUUCCGUUAACGAACGAGACCUCGACCUACUAAAUAGUUGACUUAAUUCUUCGGGGUUUGGAUUGACUUCUUAGAGGGACUUUUGGUGAGUAGCCAAAGGAAGUUCGAGGCAAUAACA
RNAcentral lists this ribosomal RNA (141 nucleotides) under uncultured eukaryote. RNAcentral describes it as "partial 18S ribosomal RNA". It matches the Rfam family "Eukaryotic small subunit ribosomal RNA", at positions 1299 to 1458 of the family's 1831-position model. The record is from RNAcentral.